Molecule: ribosomal RNA, 514 nt
Filed under: uncultured bacterium
Lineage: Bacteria
Description: bacterial SSU rRNA
Rfam family: Bacterial small subunit ribosomal RNA
Source: RNAcentral
AUGGCUCAGGACGAACGCUGGCGGCGUGCCUAACACAUGCAAGUCGAGCGGGGACAUACGACGGAACCAAAGUUUCGGAUGGAGGUGAAGAUGUAUGUUCUAGCGGCGGACGGGUGAGUAACGCGUGAGCAAACCUGUCCCUCACAGGGGGAUAACACAGCGAAAGUUGUACUAAUACCGCAUGAGACCACGAUAAGACAUCUUACAGGGGUCAAAGGAGCAAUCCGGUGAGGGGUGGGCUCGCGUCCGAUUAGAUAGUUGGUGAGGUAACGGCCCACCAAGUCGACGAUCGGUAGCCGACCUGAGAGGGUGAUCGGCCACAUUGGGACUGAGACACGGCCCAAACUCCUACGGGAGGCAGCAGUGGGGAAUAUUGGGCAAAGUGGGGGGAACCCUGACCCAGCAACGCCGCGUGAGGGAAGAAGGUUUUCGGAUCGUAAACCUCUGUCCUUGGUGAAGAGGAAGAGACGGUAGCCAAGGAGGAAGCCCCGGCUAACUACGUGCCAGCCGCCGC